AGAGUUUGAUCAUGGCUCAGAACGUACGCUGGCGGCACGCCUAACACAUGCAAGUCGAACGAAGUAGCAAUACUUAGUGGCAGACGGGUGAGUAACAUGUAGGUAUCUACCCUUUGGCCUGGAAUAACACGAGGAAACUUGUGCUAAUACCGGAUAAGUCUUUACGGAGAAAGCUUUAUGCACCAUUGGAUGAGCCUGCACUUGAUUAGUUUGUUGGUGGGGUAAUGGCCUACCAAGACUGUGAUCAAUAGCUGAUUUGAGAGGAUGAUCAGCCACAUUGGGACUGAGACACGGCCCAAACUCCUACGGGAGGCAGCAGUGGGGAAUCUUGCACAAUGGAGGAAACUCUGAUGCAGCGAUGCCGCGUGAGUGAAGAAGGCCUUUGGGUUGUAAAGCUCUUUCGUCGGGGAAGAAAAUGACUGUACCCGAAUAAGAAGGUCCGGCUAACUUCGUGCCAGCAGCCGCGGUAAUACGAAGGGACCUAGCGUAGUUCGGAAUUACUGGGCUUAAAGAGUUCGUAGGUGGUUGAAAAAGUUAGUGGUGAAAUCCCAGAGCUUAACUCUGGAACUGCCAUUAAAACUUUUCAGCUAGAGUAUGAUAGAGGAAAGCAGAAUUUCUAGUGUAGAGGUGAAAUUCGUAGAUAUUAGAAAGAAUACCAAUUGCGAAGGCAGCUUUCUGGAUCAUUACUGACACUGAGGAACGAAAGCAUGGGUAGCGAAGAGGAUUAGAUACCCUCGUAGUCCAUGCCGUAAACGAUGUGUGUUAGACGUUGGAAAUUUAUU
Molecule: ribosomal RNA, 782 nt
Filed under: marine metagenome
Description: bacterial SSU rRNA
Rfam family: Bacterial small subunit ribosomal RNA
Source: RNAcentral